Molecule: long non-coding RNA, 988 nt
Filed under: Homo sapiens (human)
Lineage: Eukaryota; Metazoa; Chordata; Mammalia; Primates; Hominidae
Description: non-protein coding lnc-INO80D-7:1
Source: RNAcentral
ACUGGCUGUAUUUUCCAGACAUAAUUUCUCAAUGCCACACCUCUAUGGGGCACCUACAGGAAUGUCAAUCAUUUCGCAGGCAUGCCUGGCCCCAAAUGCAUGACUGGAUGUGGACAGCCGAGGUAAAAGCCCUUAAUGAGUGGCAUAUUAGUCAUCACAUGGUACCCUGGGCUGAUCCCCUCUCCACUCCCCGUUUCUCCAUCUUCAGCUGAGGUAGGACACUUCUUGAAAUCUCAAGGUAGCACAUGCUCUAGCCUUUCAUCUUGCCUUUUCUUGGCAGGGCUGCUGUGGUUGAGACAGAGUAGCUCUUUGAAAUAGAGUAAGAGUGGGAGAGCACCGUUCUUUCGGGAGGAUGAAACGAACCAGAUGAGAAAGUUGAGUGUGUGUGCUGAAGGGACAUAUCUGGAUAUCGUGAAAGAAUGCUGAAAGUCUCUCCCAAGCAGCCAAAAAAAAAAAAAAAAUCAUUAGUAUUUUGUUCUCAGAAGGAACCUGGAGGCUUUUGGCCCAGGCAAACUUCUUUGGAGUGAAUUUUAUACCUCCCCAGUGGAUUUUUAGCAGGAAAGUAAAAAAUAAAUGCUCCCGAGGCUGAGACCUCAUACACUGAGAAUCUUAAAAUUUGCAUUUUCUAUCAAUGAAAUUGACUUCAUUAUUUAAUCCAUCCUUUGUACAGUAUCAUUAGCAACUUCUCUCUUACAUCCCGCUCCCCUUGUUGCUUAGAGAAGACACAUGAGCAGCAAUGGUUACAUCUUCAUUUGACCUUCUCUGUGAUGAUGCGGCAACAUCUGAAUAUGCCAGGCCAGCCUACAAGGGUCUAUUUGCCAGAUGCCAUGAAUGUUUUAAGGGGCAGCACAUAGGUACACUUAAAAAGUGAUUACUUUCUAUUCUCUGAUAAUAUUUAAAUAAGUCAGGUGGACAGCCUUACAUUUUAGCGGCUAUAGAUUCAGGCACACAUUAACACCAUGAAAGGAAAGCAAAUGAUCCCUUUUCC